CUGUAUGAAUGGCAUAACGAGGGCUUAACUGUCUCCCUCCCCCAGUCAAUGAAAUUGAUCUUUCCGUGCAGAAGCGGGAAUAAACCCAUAAGACGAGAAGACCCUGUGGAGCUUUAGACAAUAAAUAGCCCCUGUAAAGAGCCCUUACCAAACAAGCCAAAACAAACGGAUAACUAUUUUGCUGUCUUUGGUUGGGGCGACCGCGGGGUAACAAAAAACCCCCAUGUGGAACAAGAACAGCCUUCUUUAAACCAAGAACACCUCCUCGAAGUAACAGAACAUCUGACCUAAUAUGACCCGGCUUUGCCGAUCAACGGAACCAGUUACCCCAGGGAUAACAGCGCAUUCCUCUCCCAGAGCCCAUAUCGACGAGGGGGUUUACGACCUCGAUGUUGGAUCAGGACAUCCUAAUGGUGCAGCCGCUAUUAAGGGUUCCUUUUGUUCAACGAUAAAG
RNAcentral lists this ribosomal RNA (454 nucleotides) under Parablennius tentacularis (tentacled blenny). RNAcentral's name for it is "partial large subunit ribosomal RNA". It matches the Rfam family "Bacterial large subunit ribosomal RNA", at positions 1988 to 2593 of the family's 2925-position model. Lineage: Eukaryota; Metazoa; Chordata; Actinopteri; Blenniiformes; Blenniidae. The record is from RNAcentral.